Molecule: non-coding RNA, 676 nt
Organism: Manis javanica (Malayan pangolin)
Lineage: Eukaryota; Metazoa; Chordata; Mammalia; Pholidota; Manidae
Source: RefSeq, a predicted model, not a curated record
CAGACCUGGGUCCGCUGCUUCCCGGCCUCCGCGGCACGGCUGGCGCCUCCGCCCUGCACAGCGCUCGGAGCGGCUGGAUCCCGCACGCUCGCUCCGAGACCCAGGAGCUGGACCGAAGAAUUCAUUGCGAGUAUAGGGACCAGGGACUGGGCACACAGAGACUGAUAAAAAACCGGACUGAUCGCCAGAAAUCCCUGCCCUCAAGUGGUGUACACGUGCGUCUCACGUGACCCUGAAGUUACUUCUUUCGAGAUGGGCUCCCACGGAGCGAUGAAAAGGAGCAGGAAUCCGAUCUUUACAGGGAUUAAAAUAUAGUGAGGUUCUGCAAGAUGCUUUGGUUGGAAAAGGGAUUGGCUGCUUUUUAAAAAAAAGUGUACAAACAUCUUUCCUGGGCUAAUGAUCACCUAAGUGUGUCCCUUGAACUGAUAAAGGUAUUGCUCCUGGCCACGGAGCUGCAUGGGAGAGGGGCUUGGAAGAGGGAGCAUCCCAGGCCCAAGGGAAAAGAGAAUGCAAGUAGAGAAGACUUGCCACCUGAGAAGGAGGAAGAUCUACUUCCUUACACCCUCCAGUUCCCUCCUAACUAACUUCCAGCCCCUUACACUGUCUGCCCACAAUCCCAUCAGUCUUGGGCAUUAUAAACCACUGUAUUUUUUAAAUUAAAAAUUUUUUCACUUCA